GUAACCGCGGGUCAGCACACCGCGGUGAAUACGUUCCCGGGCCUUGUACACACCGCCCGUCACGUCAUGAAAGUCGGGGACGCCUGAAGCCGGCCGGCCAACCCUCCGGGGGGGCAGCCGUCGAGGGUGGGACCGGCGAUCGGGACGAAGUCGUAACAAGGUAGCCGUACCGGAAGGUGCGGCUGGAUCACCUCCUUU
This 198-nucleotide ribosomal RNA is filed under the name Chloroflexota bacterium. Its description in RNAcentral is "partial 16S ribosomal RNA". It matches the Rfam family "Bacterial small subunit ribosomal RNA", at positions 1338 to 1533 of the family's 1533-position model. Lineage: Bacteria; Bacillati; Chloroflexota. The record is from RNAcentral.